RNAcentral lists this ribosomal RNA (263 nucleotides) under uncultured bacterium. RNAcentral describes it as "partial 16S ribosomal RNA". It matches the Rfam family "Bacterial small subunit ribosomal RNA", at positions 793 to 1055 of the family's 1533-position model. The record is from RNAcentral.
GUCCACGCCGUAAACGUUGGGCGCUAGGUGUGGGGCUCAUUCCACGAGUUCCGUGCCGCAGCUAACGCAUUAAGCGCCCCGCCUGGGGAGUACGGCCGCAAGGCUAAAACUCAAAGGAAUUGACGGGGGCCCCGCACAAGCGGCGGAGCAUGUUGCUUAAUUCGAUGCAACGCGAAGAACCUUACCUAGGCUUGACAUGCACGGAAAUCCUCCAGAGAUGGUGGGUCCGUAAGGGCCGUGCACAGGUGGUGCAUGGUUGUCGU